This 274-nucleotide ribosomal RNA is filed under the name uncultured bacterium. RNAcentral's name for it is "partial 16S ribosomal RNA". It matches the Rfam family "Bacterial small subunit ribosomal RNA", at positions 523 to 796 of the family's 1533-position model. The record is from RNAcentral.
AUACGGAGGGUGCAAGCGUUAAUCGGAAUUACUGGGCGUAAAGCGUACGUAGGCGGUUCGUUAAGUUAGAUGUGAAAGCCCCGGGCUUAACCUGGGAACUGCAUUUAAAACUGGCGGACUAGAGUUGAGUAGGGGGGAGUGGAAUUUCAGGUGUAGCGGUGAAAUGCGUAGAGAUCUGAAGGAACACCAGUGGCGAAGGCGACUCCCUGGACUCGAACUGACGCUGAGGUACGAAAGCGUGGGUAGCAAACGGGAUUAGAUACCCUAGUAGUCC